This 792-nucleotide ribosomal RNA is filed under the name uncultured Bacillota bacterium. RNAcentral describes it as "bacterial SSU rRNA". It matches the Rfam family "Bacterial small subunit ribosomal RNA", at positions 79 to 901 of the family's 1533-position model. The record is from RNAcentral. Lineage: Bacteria; Bacillati; Bacillota.
GCAAUCCAUGAGUAAAGUGGCGCACGGGUGAGUAACACGUGACUAACCUACCCUGGAGUGGGGGAUAACUGAGGGAAACCUUAGCUAAUACCGCAUAAUACCUACGGGUCAAAGGAGCAAUUCGCUCUGGGAGGGGGUCGCGGCCGAUUAGUUAGUUGGCGGGGUAAUGGCCCACCAAGACGAUGAUCGGUAUCCGGCCUGAGAGGGCGCACGGACACACUGGAACUGAAACACGGUCCAGACUCCUACGGGAGGCAGCAGUGGGGAAUUUUGCGCAAUGGGGGAAACCCUGACGCAGCAACGCCGCGUGGAGGAUGAAGACCUUCGGGUCGUAAACUCCUUUCGAUCGGGACGAUAAUGACGGUACCGGAAGAAGAAGCCCCGGCUAACUUCGUGCCAGCAGCCGCGGUAAUACGAGGGGGGCGAGCGUUGUUCGGAAUUAUUGGGCGUAAAGGGUGCGUAGGCGGUUUGGUAAGUCUUGUGUGAAAUCUACAGGCUCAACUUGUAGUCUGCACGAGAAACUGCCGGGCUUGAGUAUGGGAGAGGUGAGUGGAAUUCCUGGUGUAGCGGUGAAAUGCGUAGAUAUCANGAGGAACACCUGUGGCGAAAGCGGCUCACUGGACCAUAACUGACGCUGAUGCACGAAAGCUAGGGGAGCAAACAGGAUUAGAUACCCUGGUAGUCCUAGCCCUAAACGAUGACUGCUUGGUGUGACGGGUACCCAAUCCCGCCCUGCCGUAGCUAACGCGUUUAAGCAGUCCGCCUGGGGAGUACGGUCGCAAGGCUGAAACU